Molecule: ribosomal RNA, 999 nt
Filed under: Triticum aestivum (bread wheat)
Lineage: Eukaryota; Viridiplantae; Streptophyta; Magnoliopsida; Poales; Poaceae
Description: partial small subunit ribosomal RNA
Source: RNAcentral
AUGGACAACGAGGAACACCGCCGCCACAUCGCCACCUGCCUCGUCAAAGGCGUUUACGUCCACGAGAAGGAGAGAGCAGCGAUGAACAGGACGGAGAAGCUCGCGCCGGCGUGGUGGGAAAGCUUUGGCUUCCGCCUAGAGAAGGAACUCAGAGAGCAGAUAUCCUUCUCCAUCUCCGACACCAUCUCCGACACCAUCUUCAACACCAUCGCCGACAACAUCUACGGUGCCAUCUUCGGCACCAACUACGGUGCCAUCUCCGACACCAUCUACGGUGCCAUCUUCGAGAAGGUGCCGGCGAAAGACUUCUGGCUUGACGCCAAUAUAGUGGCCAACACAAUGAACGACCGCACGCGCUACAAGCUAGCUCGAGGAGCGGUCGAGGAACUUAUGGUUGGCCAAACCCCAGACCCGAAGCGCUGCCUUGACGUUUGGCUCGCCGGGCACUCUCUCGGCGGUUCGCUGGCGCUGGAAGUGGGGCGGGACAUGAUGGUGCAGGGGCUCAACCUGCCGACCUUCCUCUUCAAUCCGCCGCAGGUGUCGUUGACACCACUACUCAACUUGCUGAACGCGACGGAGGUGGCCAAGUGGGACCUGCACUUCACGAGUUUCGUCUUGAAGGUCGCUGUGGGACAUUUCUCCGAAUCCCGACGGGACCACAUGGAAGAGCUGUUCAGCAAGCUUGAACCGUGGGUGCCGAAUCUGUACGUGAACGAGAAUGACUGGAUCAGCCAGGGCUUCAUCGACUACUUGGAGUUGCGGCAGAAGUUCCAGGAGCGAUUCCCCAAUGCUGGCGCCGUGUGGAUGACAAUGUCGUACCGAGACUUGGUCCACCGCCUGCUGGUCGACGGUAAGGAGCAGCCGCACCUCCUGCCAUCGGCGACGCUGUGGAAAAGCAGGCUCCAUCCCCGUGAGCACAGUCUCGACCAGUUGUUGAAACCGGACAGUGAGCUCGGAUUGGGCGCCACGCCUUAUAGGUACACUCUACCUGAAGCGUAA